RNAcentral lists this ribosomal RNA (620 nucleotides) under uncultured Russula. RNAcentral describes it as "eukaryotic LSU rRNA". The stretch from base 183 to 336 matches the Rfam family "5.8S ribosomal RNA". The record is from RNAcentral. Lineage: Eukaryota; Fungi; Basidiomycota; Agaricomycetes; Russulales; Russulaceae.
ACAACCGAGGUGCAAAGGCUGUCGCUGACCCUCAAAGGUUGUGCACGCCCGAGCGCUCUCACACAAUCCAUCUCACCUUUGUGCAUCACCGCGUGGGUCCCCUUUGCGGGAGGGCUCGCGUUUUCACAUAAUAACUCGAUACAGUGUAGAAUGUUUCUUUUGCGGUCACACGCAAUCAAUACAACUUUCAACAACGGAUCUCUUGGCUCUCGCAUCGAUGAAGAACGCAGCGAAAUGCGAUACGUAAUGUGAAUUGCAGAAUUCAGUGAAUCAUCGAAUCUUUGAACGCACCUUGCGCCCCUUGGCAUUCCGAGGGGCACACCCGUUUGAGUGUCGUGAAUUCUUCAAAACCCUUUUUUUCUUCGAACCAUCGUGGUCGGGAAAAGGAUUUUUGGACUUGGAGGUUUAAUGCUCGCCCUUUCUUUUGAAAGCGAGCUCCUCUCAAAUGAAUUAGUGGGGUCCGCUUUGCUGAUCCUUGACGUGAUAAAAUGUUUCUACGUUUUGGGUUUAGCACUGUCGCUUGNAUGCCUGCUCCUAACCCGUCUCAUUGACAAUGAUGGUGCUCUGGUCACUGCCGUCUACAUCGGCGGGAGGNUGGACCCACAAAAGAAAAACCUUGA